UGGCGAAUUUUGCGCAAUGGGGGAAACCCUGACGCAGCAACGCCGCGUGAGUGAUGAAGGCCUUCGGGUCGUAAAGCUCUGUCAGAGGGGAAGAAAUGCAGGGGUGCUAAUAUCAUCUUUGCUUGACGGUACCCUCAAAGGAAGCACCGGCUAACUCCGUGCCAGCAGCCGCGGUAAUACGGAGGGUGCGAGCGUUGUUCGGAAUUAUUGGGCGUAAAGCGCGUGUAGGCGGUUUGAUAAGUCUGAUGUGAAAGCCCCGGGCUCAACCUGGGAAGUGCAUUGGAAACUGUCAGACUUGAAUACGGGAGAGGGUAGUGGAAUUCCUAGUGUAGGAGUGAAAUCCGUAGAUAUUAGGAGGAACACCGGUGGCGAAGGCGGCUACCUGGACCGAUAUUGACGCUGAGACGCGAAAGCGUUGGGAGCAAACAG
This 429-nucleotide ribosomal RNA is filed under the name uncultured bacterium. RNAcentral's name for it is "bacterial SSU rRNA". It matches the Rfam family "Bacterial small subunit ribosomal RNA", at positions 355 to 775 of the family's 1533-position model. The record is from RNAcentral.